This 91-nucleotide transfer RNA is filed under the name bacterium. RNAcentral's name for it is "tRNA-Leu". The record is from RNAcentral.
CGGCUCGUGGAGGAACUUUAGGCAGACUCGCUGGAAUGAGAGUCCAGUGCGAAGUAAUAGUAGCGUGCGGGUUCGAGUCCCGCCGAGCCGA